AACAACGGCAAGUCGAGCGGUAGCACAGAGAGCUUGCUCUCGGGUGACGAGCGGCGGACGGGUGAGUAAUGUCUGGGAAACUGCCUGAUGGAGGGGGAUAACUACUGGAAACGGUAGCUAAUACCGCAUAAUGUCGCAAGACCAAAGUGGGGGACCUUCGGGCCUCAUGCCAUCAGAUGUGCCCAGAUGGGAUUAGCUAGUAGGUGGGGUAACGGCUCACCUAGGCGACGAUCCCUAGCUGGUCUGAGAGGAUGACCAGCCACACUGGAACUGAGACACGGUCCAGACUCCUACGGGAGGCAGCAGUGGGGAAUAUUGCACAAUGGGCGCAAGCCUGAUGCAGCCAUGCCGCGUGUGUGAAGAAGGCCUUCGGGUUGUAAAGCACUUUCAGCGGGGAGGAAGGCGUUAAGGUUAAUAACCUUGGCGAUUGACGUUACCCGCAGAAGAAGCACCGGCUAACUCCGUGCCAGCAGCCGCGGUAAUACGGAGGGUGCAAGCGUUAAUCGGAAUUACUGGGCGUAAAGCGCACGCAGGCGGUCUGUCAAGUCGGAUGUGAAAUCCCCGGGCUCAACCUGGGAACUGCAUUCGAAACUGGCAGGCUAGAGUCUUGUAGAGGGGGGUAGAAUUCCAGGUGUAGCGGUGAAAUGCGUAGAGAUCUGGAGGAAUACCGGUGGCGAAGGCGGCCCCCUGGACAAAGACUGACGCUCAGGUGCGAAAGCGUGGGGAGCAAACAGGAUUAGAUACCCUGGUAGUCCACGCCGUAAACGAUGUCGAUUUGGAGGUUGUGCCCUUGAGGCGUGGCUUCCGGAGCUAACGCGUUAAAUCGACCGCCUGGGGAGUACGGCCGCAAGGUUAAAACUCAAAUGAAUUGACGGGGGCCCGCACAAGCGGUGGAGCAUGUGGUUUAAUUCGAUGCAACGCGAAGAACCUUACCUGGUCUUGACAUCCACAGAACUUUCCAGAGAUGGAUUGGUGCCUUCGGGAACUGUGAGACAGGUGCUGCAUGGCUGUCGUCAGCUCGUGUUGUGAAAUGUUGGGUUAAGUCCCGCAACGAGCGCAACCCUUAUCCUUUGUUGCCAGCGGUCCGGCCGGGAACUCAAAGGAGACUGCCAGUGAUAAACUGGAGGAAGGUGGGGAUGACGUCAAGUCAUCAUGGCCCUUACGACCAGGGCUACACACGUGCUACAAUGGCAUAUACAAAGAGAAGCGACCUCGCGAGAGCAAGCGGACCUCAUAAAGUAUGUCGUAGUCCGGAUUGGAGUCUGCAACUCGACUCCAUGAAGUCGGAAUCGCUAGUAAUCGUAGAUCAGAAUGCUACGGUGAAUACGUUCCCGGGCCUUGUACACACCGCCCGUCACACCAUGGGAGUGGGUGCAAAAGAAGUAGGUAGCUUAACCUUCGGGAGGGCGCUUACCACUGGUG
RNAcentral lists this ribosomal RNA (1422 nucleotides) under Klebsiella pneumoniae. Its description in RNAcentral is "bacterial SSU rRNA". It matches the Rfam family "Bacterial small subunit ribosomal RNA". Lineage: Bacteria; Pseudomonadati; Pseudomonadota; Gammaproteobacteria; Enterobacterales; Enterobacteriaceae. The record is from RNAcentral.